Molecule: ribosomal RNA, 808 nt
Filed under: uncultured Pelagibacteraceae bacterium
Lineage: Bacteria; Pseudomonadati; Pseudomonadota; Alphaproteobacteria; Candidatus Pelagibacterales; Candidatus Pelagibacteraceae
Description: bacterial SSU rRNA
Rfam family: Bacterial small subunit ribosomal RNA
Source: RNAcentral
CGCUGGCGGCACGCCUAACACAUGCAAGUCGAACGCAGUAGCAAUACUGAGUGGCAAACGGGUGAGUAUAAUGUGGGAAUCUGCCUUUUGGUUUGGAAUAACACGGGGAAACUUGUGCUAAUACCGAAUAAGCCUUUACAGGGAAAGUUUUAACGCCGAAAGAUGAGCCCGCACUUGAUUAGCUAGUUGGUAAGGUAAAAGCUUACCAAGGCAAUGAUCAAUAGCUGUUCUUAGAGGAAGACCAGCCACAUUGGGACUGAGACACGGCCCAGACUCCUACGGGAGGCAGCAGUGGGGAAUCUUGCACAAUGGGGGAAACCCUGAUGCAGCGAUGCCGCGUGAGUGAAGAAGGCCUUUGGGUUGUAAAACUCUUUCGUCGGGGAAGAAAAUGACUGUACCCGAAUAAGAAGGUCCGGCUAACUUCGUGCCAGCAGCCGCGGUAAUACGAAGGGACCUAGCGUAGUUCGGAAUUACUGGGCUUAAAGAGCUCGUAGGUGGUUAAAAAAGUUGAUGGUGAAAUCCCAAGGCUUAACCUUGGAACUGCCAUCAAAACUUUUUAGCUAGAGUGUGAUAGAGGUAAGUGGAAUUUCUAGUGUAGAGGUGAAAUUCGUAGAUAUUAGAAAGAACACCAAAUGCGAAGGCAACUUACUGGGUCACCACUGACACUGAGGAGCGAAAGCAUGGGUAGCGAAGAGGAUUAGAUACCCUCGUAGUCCAUGCCGUAAACGAUGUGUGCUAGACGUUGGAAAUAUAUUUUUCAGUGUCGCAGCGAAAGCAUUAAGCACACCGCCUGGGGAGUACGACCGCA